RNAcentral lists this ribosomal RNA (517 nucleotides) under uncultured microorganism. RNAcentral describes it as "bacterial SSU rRNA". It matches the Rfam family "Bacterial small subunit ribosomal RNA", at positions 9 to 508 of the family's 1533-position model. The record is from RNAcentral.
GAGUUUGAUCGUGGCUCAGGAUGAACGCUGGCGGCGUGCCUAAUACAUGCAAGUCGAGCGAACGGACGAGAAGCUUGCUUCUCUGAUGUUAGCGGCGGACGGGUGAGUAACACGUGGAUAACCUACCUAUAAGACUGGGAUAACUUCGGGAAACCGGAGCUAAUACCGGAUGAUAUUUUGAACCGCAUGGUUCAAAAGUGAAAGACGGUCUUGCUGUCACUUAUAGAUGGAUCCGCGCUGCAUUAGCUAGUUGGUAAGGUAACGGCUUACCAAGGCAACGAUGCAUAGCCGACCUGAGAGGGUGAUCGGCCACACUGGAACUGAGACACGGUCCAGACUCCUACGGGAGGCAGCAGUAGGGAAUCUUCCGCAAUGGGCGAAAGCCUGACGGAGCAACGCCGCGUGAGUGAUGAAGGUCUUCGGAUCGUAAAACUCUGUUAUUAGGGAAGAACAUAUGUGUAAGUAACUGUGCACAUCUUGACGGUACCUAAUCGGAAAGCCACGGCUAACUACGUCG